UACGUAGGUGGCAAGCGUUAUCCGGAAUUACUGGGUGUAAAGGGUGUGUAGGCGGGAAUGCAAGUCAGACGUGAAAACUUAAGGCUCAACCUUAAGCCUGCGUUUGAAACUGUGUUUCUUGAGAGUGGGAGAGGUAAACGGAAUUCCUGGUGUAGUAGUGAAAUGCGUAGAUAUCAGGAGGAACACCGGUGGCGAAGGCGGUUUACUGGACCACAACUGACGCUGAGACACGAAAGCGUGGGGAGCAAACAGG
This 253-nucleotide ribosomal RNA is filed under the name uncultured bacterium. RNAcentral's name for it is "partial 16S ribosomal RNA". It matches the Rfam family "Bacterial small subunit ribosomal RNA", at positions 524 to 776 of the family's 1533-position model. The record is from RNAcentral.